UACGAAGGGAGCUAGCGUUGUUCGGAAUCACUGGGUGUAAAGCGCACGUAGGCGGAUGUGUCAGUCAGGGGUGAAAUCCCGGAGCUCAACUUCGGAACUGCCUUUGAUACAGCACGUCUUGAGUCCGAUAGAGGUGGGUGGAAUUCCUAGUGUAGAGGUGAAAUUCGUAGAUAUUAGGAAGAACACCGGUGGCGAAGGCGGCCCACUGGAUCGGUACUGACGCUGAGGUGCGAAAGCGUGGGGAGCAAACAGG
RNAcentral lists this ribosomal RNA (253 nucleotides) under uncultured bacterium. Its description in RNAcentral is "partial 16S ribosomal RNA". It matches the Rfam family "Bacterial small subunit ribosomal RNA", at positions 524 to 776 of the family's 1533-position model. The record is from RNAcentral.